UAGCUAGUUGGUGAGGUAACGGCUUACCAAGGCGACGAUCUGUAGCGGGUCUGAGAGGAUGAUCCGCCACACUGGAACUGAGACACGGUCCAGACUCCUACGGGAGGCAGCAGUGGGGAAUUUUGGACAAUGGGGGCAACCCUGAUCCAGCCAUGCCGCGUGAGUGAAGAAGGCCUUCGGGUUGUAAAGCUCUUUCGGCCGGGAAGAAAUCGCAUGGGCCAAUACCCUGUGUGGAUGACGGUACCGGAAUAAGAAGCACCGGCUAACUACGUGCCAGCAGCCGCGGUAAUACGUAGGGUGCGAGCGUUAAUCGGAAUUACUGGGCGUAAAGCGUGCGCAGGCGGUUUUGUAGGACAGGCGUGAAAUCCCCGGGCUCAACCUGGGAACUGCGUUUGUGACUGCAAGGCUAGAGUACGGCAGAGGGGGGUGGAAUUCCACGUGUAGCAGUGAAAUGCGUAGAGAUGUGGAGGAACACCAAUGGCGAAGGCAGCCCCCUGGGUCGAUACUGACGCUCAUGCACGAAAGCGUGGGUAGCAAACAGGAUUAGAUACCCUGGUAGUCCACGCCCUAAACUAUGUCAACUAGGUGUUGGGUGGGUAAAACCAUUUAGUACCGUAGCUAACGCGUGAAGUUGACCGCCUGGGGAGUACGGCCGCAAGGUUAAAACUCAAAGGAAUUGACGGGGACCCGCACAAGCGGUGGAUGAUGUGGAUUAAUUCGAUGCAACGCGAAAAACCUUACCUACCCUUGACAUGCCAGGAACUUGCCAGAGAUGGCUUGGUGCCCGAAAGGGAGCCUGGACACAGGUGCUGCAUGGCUGUCGUCAGCUCGUGUCGUGAGAUGUUGGGUUAAGUCCCGCAACGAGCGCAACCCUUGUCGUUAAUUGCCAUCAUUUAGUUGGGCACUUUAGCGAGACUGCCGGUGACAAACCGGAGGAAGGUGGGGAUGACGUCAAGUCCUCAUGGCCCUUAUGGGUAGGGCUUCACACGUCAUACAAUGGUCGGUACAAAGGGUCGCCAAGCCGCGAGGUGGAGCCAAUCCCAGAAAGCCGAUCGUAGUCCGGAUUGCAGGCUGCAACUCGCCUGCAUGAAGUCGGAAUCGCUAGUAAUCGUGGAUCAGCAUGUCACGGUGAAUACGUUCCCGGGUCUUGUACACACCGCCCGUCACACCAUGGGAGCGGGUUCCGCCAGAAGUAGGUAGCCUAACCGCAAGGAGGGCGCUUACCACGGCGGGGUUCGUGACUGGGGUGAAGUCGGAACAAGGUAGCCGUAGGGGAACCUGCGGCUG
RNAcentral lists this ribosomal RNA (1287 nucleotides) under metagenome. RNAcentral's name for it is "bacterial SSU rRNA". It matches the Rfam family "Bacterial small subunit ribosomal RNA", at positions 242 to 1520 of the family's 1533-position model. The record is from RNAcentral.